AACGGUCUAUACCUGCGGUACCUGCGGAAGGAUCAUUACUGAGUAACGUGGUCUUUUUCAUGACCCGCUACCCGCCCUUUGUCAUAUGUUGGACGAGGUCGUCUUUAGGGGCGGCCUCCGACCCCACUUCCCGGGAGGCGUUGCGCCUCAUCAAAGUCUAGGCCUUGAUGAGGAUGGGACCGCCCGGGGUCUUUUUCAAACCCUUUGUGAGAAAUCUGAAGUCUGAAGCGAAAGCUUAAA
Molecule: unclassified non-coding RNA, 240 nt
Filed under: soil metagenome
Description: partial contains 5.8S ribosomal RNA, internal transcribed spacer 2, and large subunit ribosomal RNA
Source: RNAcentral